CCCUAUUAUCUACUACUUUUUUUCUUUCAAUUUUUUUUUCAAGAAGAGUCUAGUGCAAUGUCUUAGCCUCUUGAGCGUUCUAGCUGACCCUUGUAACAAGCUUUCAGUCAAUGACUCUCAAAUCAAUUAGUUUUAGGAUAUUAGGUAUAGAACAUCCUUCGGACUUACUAACUCGAGUCUGAAAAAAGCUAUGAGGUGAGAUAGACUUUAUAACAGUCUCUUAGCAUCUCCACCUUUUGACAUGAACCACAAUGCUUACUUAGACGAAAGGGCCCGAUUACUCAGUGAGAUAAUGUUAAAUCUUUUUUUUAUGAAAUAUGAGGAACGUUUGCAUAUCUCAACCUUUCCACUACAUCCAUGAAGAGAUUCUUUAUUGAGAUUAGUAAGAAGAGGGUUCUAGAAUUACUCUAAAAUUUGGUCUGGUCUAAAUCCUACCAUUCAUUGGGCCUCCUUAAUAAUUUGUCUCUUGAUAUCUCUAAAAUUAUCUAGAUCGUUAAUCACUCAUUAAUUAAGUCACCUAAUUAACUUCUAAUCAAAAUAAAAUUUGGAUAUAUAUAGCUAAUUAUUUCUGAUCAUACUUGAGGAUUCACUUAACUUUAAGUUAGUUUAUUCUUCCCCCCAAACUUAAUUUUCAUUGUCCCCAAUGAAAGAAGAGAAAAAUUUAAAAAACAAUACAAAAAGAGGGAUACCACCUGAUUUACUAUUAUUUGUAGGUUCUUUCAUGUGUCCCCAUAGGCCCUCAUCGAAUGUUGAAGUUGGGCUCUCCUCCACCUUGGCUAAUCAUCCUUAUUAAAUUUUUAUAAAAUAAAAAAAUUAGAUAAAUAAAAUAAAAUAUCGGAUUGCCUCCCAACAAGUGCUAAAUUUAAGAUCUUCAGCCAGACCAAGCCAAAGUUCACGAUGGUUCAUAGAUUGAUUCAACCAAAUCCACAACUUCAAUUUGUUCUUCAUCCCUUAUGCCAUCCACAUAAUGCUUCAGUCUCUGCCCAUUAACUUUAAAAGUAUUUUUCUGCUUUGGAUCUUUAAGUUCUAUGGCUUCAUGAAAAAAAAUUUGGGUCACAAUAAAUGGUCCAUCCCAAUGCGAGCAAAGUUUACCAGGGAAAAGUCUCAACCUUGAAUUAAAGAGCCAUAAAAUUUGAUUUGGUUCAAACAUUUUUCUUGCAAUGAAUUUGUCAUGGUAAGCUUUGGUUCAAGCCUUAUAGAUUUUAGCAUUUUCGUAUGCCUCAUUACGUAGUUCUUCUAAUUCAUUCAAUUGAAGCCUCCUUUUAGAUCCCGCAUUUUUCAUAUCAAAGUUAAAUUUUCUUAUUGCCCAAUAUGCAUGGCGUUCCAAUUCUACCUGCAGAUGAUAAGAUUUUUCAAAAAUAAGCUGGUAAGGGGACAUUCCUAUAAGAAUCUUGUAAGCAGUACAAUAGACCCAUAGUGCAUCAUCUAAUCUCUCAGACCAAUCUUUUCGAUUGGACCUAACCAUUUUUUCUAAGAUCUUUUUAAUCUUCCUAUUGGAGACUUCCACCUGUCCAUUGGUCUGGGGAUG
Molecule: long non-coding RNA, 1528 nt
Filed under: Elaeis guineensis (African oil palm)
Lineage: Eukaryota; Viridiplantae; Streptophyta; Magnoliopsida; Arecales; Arecaceae
Description: long non-coding RNA (EGUI_LNC053945)
Source: RNAcentral